CCUGAUGCAGCCAUGCCGCGUGUGUGAAGAAGGCCUUCGGGUUGUAAAGCACUUUCAGUUGUGAGGAAAAGUUAGUAGUUAAUACCUGCUAGCCGUGACGUUAACAACAGAAGAAGCACCGGCUAACUCCGUGCCAGCAGCCGCGGUAAUACGGAGGGUGCGAGCGUUAAUCGGAAUUACUGGGCGUAAAGCGCACGCAGGCGGUUUGUUAAGCUAGAUGUGAAAGCCCCGGGCUCAACCUGGGAUGGUCAUUUAGAACUGGCAGACUAGAGUCUUGGAGAGGGGAGUGGAAUUCCAGGUGUAGCGGUGAAAUGCGUAGAUAUCUGGAGGAACAUCAGUGGCGAAGGCGACUCCCUGGCCAAAGACUGACGCUCAUGUGCGAAAGUGUGGGUAGCGAACAGGAUUAGAUACCCUGGUAGUCCACACCGUAAACGCUGUCUACUAGCUGUGUGUGUCUUUAAGGCGUGCGUAGCGAAGCUAACGCGCUAAGUAGACCGCCUGG
Molecule: ribosomal RNA, 502 nt
Filed under: Alteromonas sp. 8Bf2S102
Lineage: Bacteria; Pseudomonadati; Pseudomonadota; Gammaproteobacteria; Alteromonadales; Alteromonadaceae
Description: bacterial SSU rRNA
Rfam family: Bacterial small subunit ribosomal RNA
Source: RNAcentral